Long non-coding RNA from Bubalus bubalis (water buffalo), 920 nucleotides. RefSeq lists it as uncharacterized. NCBI's taxonomy places the organism in Eukaryota, Metazoa, Chordata, Mammalia, Artiodactyla, Bovidae. The transcript has 3 exons. The record is from RefSeq and is a predicted model, not a curated record.
GGGAGGUGAGGUGGGGGGAGCUGCCACGGGGCAGGUCAAACUGGAGAGUGGACAGAGGACGUUCUGAGGAGCCUGCUAGAGGCGUGUUUCGAAUUUCGGCGCAGCAUGAGGACCCAGACAGGCAAGACUCCAGCCUCCGUGUUUGGAACACUUGAGAAUUGAGGAAGGAAAAGCCAAGAAACCACCUGAGGCAAGGAACCUGGAGGAACCCCCCGCCGGGUCAACCACUGCCCGCAUCUCUGCCGAUCGAUGGGGGGCGCUCCAGCUUGAGAAGUCAAGCCUCUCUCCUGCCGACACACCCACUGGGCCCGAUUUCCUCUUCAUUCUUAGUUAGAAGCCGGUUUCGGGUCAGCAGCGGUACCGUUGGCUGGGAAAAGCCAAAGGGCUACGCCAGGUGCUGGUCUCGGGAAUCGCCCCUCGGGUCUGCCCUCCUCUGGUUCCUUGGGGCUCUUGGCGUGAUGAGCCGGCCCUGCCCAGCAACCAGUCGCUAUCUCCCGCCCUUCUGCACCUAAAACCCUCUAGGGGGUUGCAGGUUCAGCUUCACUUAGAGACCGCAGCUCUUGAGUUCAAGUUAGUUAGAAAAACACAGGCAGGAAUGGGGACUCGGGUGAGGUGUCUGAAGCUGGCCGCAGACUUUCUCUCCGGAACUGGGAGAGCCUCUUCGGAAAGCCCAAAGAGCUGCCCGCCCAUCCAUGAAAAAACUGCUGGGGUUGGUGCUGGUAACAUCUCGGGGAGAGCGAGGUGCCGCCCCCAGCUACUGGGAAAUCCCAGGGGUGGCGCUGGCUGUGGGUGGGGCCGGGGUGGGGUCCCGGCGGAGGGCGGGGCCUACCUGGGCGCCAGGGUGUGCCAGCCUAGCCCUGCACAGCCGAGGUGGUAGUGGCCCAGGUCUGUGGCUCGCGCUCUACCUGCCCCUGAACCUC